ACAUGGGUUUGGAUUUAUGGUAGGCCUAUCCCCCGGGCCUCUCAUAGUGUCCCAUGCCAGAGCAAACUGGCCCCGCACCAUUGCCAGGCCUCUGCCCUUAGGCUGCAGGCACUGAAGUGGGUUGCACGGGG
This is a small nucleolar RNA of Hippopotamus amphibius kiboko, 131 nucleotides long. RefSeq annotates it as small nucleolar RNA SNORA42/SNORA80 family. The record is from RefSeq and is a predicted model, not a curated record. NCBI's taxonomy places the organism in Eukaryota, Metazoa, Chordata, Mammalia, Artiodactyla, Hippopotamidae. The transcript has a single exon.